CAGUAGCCACGGGAAUACAGAGGGUGCGAGCGUUAAUCGGAUUUACUGGGCGUAAAGCGUGCGUAGGCGGCUAAUUGAGUCGGAUGUGAAAUCCCCGAGCUUAACUUAGGAAUUGCAUUCGAUACUGGGAAGCUAGAGUAUGGGAGAGGAUGGUAGAAUUCCAGGUGUAGCGGUGAAAUGCGUAGAGAUCUGGAGGAAUACCGAUGGCGAAGGCAGCCAUCUGGCCUAAUACUGACGCUGAGGUACGAAAGCAUGGGGAGCAAACAGGAUUAGAUACCCCCGUAGUCCCUGUCUCUUAUAC
Molecule: ribosomal RNA, 301 nt
Filed under: uncultured bacterium
Lineage: Bacteria
Description: partial 16S ribosomal RNA
Rfam family: Bacterial small subunit ribosomal RNA
Source: RNAcentral